This 484-nucleotide ribosomal RNA is filed under the name uncultured bacterium. Its description in RNAcentral is "bacterial SSU rRNA". It matches the Rfam family "Bacterial small subunit ribosomal RNA", at positions 15 to 507 of the family's 1533-position model. The record is from RNAcentral.
GAUCAUGGCUCAGGAUGAACGCUGGCGGCGUGCUUAACACAUGCAAGUCGAACGAAGAUGCCGGAGUGCUUGCACUUUGGCAGACUGAGUGGCGGACGGGUGAGUAACGCGUGGGUAACCUGCCUUAUACAGGGGGAUAACAGUUGGAAACGACUGCUAAUACCGCAUAAGCGCACGGUAUCGCAUGAUACAGUGUGAAAAACUCCGGUGGUAUAAGAUGGACCCGCGUCUGAUUAGCCAGUUGGCAGGGUAACGGCCUACCAAAGCGACGAUCAGUAGCCGGCCUGAGAGGGUGAACGGCCACAUUGGGACUGAGACACGGCCCAAACUCCUACGGGAGGCAGCAGUGGGGAAUAUUGCACAAUGGGGGAAACCCUGAUGCAGCGACGCCGCGUGAGUGAAGAAGUAUUUCGGUAUGUAAAGCUCUAUCAGCAGGGAAGAAGAAAUGACGGUACCUGACUAAGAAGCCCCGGCUAACUACGUG